Molecule: ribosomal RNA, 391 nt
Filed under: uncultured bacterium
Lineage: Bacteria
Description: bacterial SSU rRNA
Rfam family: Bacterial small subunit ribosomal RNA
Source: RNAcentral
GACGAACGCUGGCGGCGUGCUUAACACAUGCAAGUCGAGCGGUAAGGCCCUUUCGGGGGUACACGAGCGGGCGAACGGGUGAGUAACACGUGGGUGACCUGCCUUUAGCUCUGGGAUAAGCCUGGGAAACUGGGUCUAAUACCGGAUAUGACUCCAUGAUGCAUGUUGUGGGGUGGAAAGCCUUGUGCGGCUGGAGAUGGGCCCGCGGCCUAUCAGCUUGUUGGUGGGGUGANGGCCUACCAAGGCGACGACGGGUAGCCGGCCUGAGAGGGCGACCGGCCACACUGGGACUGAGACACGGCCCAGACUCCUACGGGAGGCAGCAGUGGGGAAUCUUGCGCAAUGGGCGAAAGCCUGACGCAGCGACGCCGCGUGAGGGAUGACGGCCUGG